This 593-nucleotide ribosomal RNA is filed under the name uncultured bacterium. Its description in RNAcentral is "bacterial SSU rRNA". It matches the Rfam family "Bacterial small subunit ribosomal RNA", at positions 338 to 950 of the family's 1533-position model. The record is from RNAcentral.
CCUACGGGAGGCAGCAGUGGGGAAUAUUGGACAAUGGGCGCAAGCCUGAUCCAGCAAUGCCGCGUGAGUGAUGAAGGCCUUAGGGUCGUAAAGCUCUUUUACCAGGGAUGAUAAUGACAGUACCUGGAGAAUAAGCUCCGGCUAACUCCGUGCCAGCAGCCGCGGUAAUACGGAGGGAGCUAGCGUUGUUCGGAAUUACUGGGCGUAAAGCGUACGUAGGCGGUUAUUCAAGUCAGAGGUGAAAGCCCGGGGCUCAACCCCGGAACGGCCUUUGAAACUAGGUAGCUAGAAUCUUGGAGAGGUCAGUGGAAUUCCGAGUGUAGAGGUGAAAUUCGUAGAUAUUCGGAAGAACACCAGUGGCGAAGGCGACUGACUGGACAAGUAUUGACGCUGAGGUACGAAAGCGUGGGGAGCAAACAGGAUUAGAUACCCUGGUAGUCCACGCCGUAAACGAUGAUAACUAGCUGUUCGGGCACUUGGUGCUUGAGUGGCGCAGCUAACGCAUUAAGUUAUCCGCCUGGGGAGUACGGUCGCAAGNUUAAAACUCAAAUGAAAUUGACGGCUUGAGAGUUGCGAGCGACACGAGGGAGAGG